GAAGAAGACGGCCUGAAAAUCCAACAGGGGUAAUACUGGGAACACAUGCCCUGAGACAUCUCCACGUUAUCUCCAUAAUCUUUUUAAAUUUUGAAACCCUCUGCUUCCAUAUCUUUCACUUUGCACUUGUCAAUGGCGGAUGCUGUGGGUGCGUGUUCUCAGGUCACCCCUGUAGGAAAAUCUGCUGUUCGUUC
This 194-nucleotide microRNA precursor is filed under the name Picea abies (Norway spruce). RNAcentral's name for it is "miR398a stem-loop (pab-MIR398a)". Its record names the gene pab-MIR398a. The record is from miRBase by way of RNAcentral. Lineage: Eukaryota; Viridiplantae; Streptophyta; Pinopsida; Pinales; Pinaceae.